GCUGGAGGAGGGUGCUGCUGCUGGAGGAGGGUGCUGCUGCUGAAGGAGGCUGGUGCUGGCAACGGCUGCAGGUGAUGACUGCUGAAAGAAGAGGAGGCUGGAGGCUGCUGACGGUGGACCGGGAAUGGAGAUGCCAAGUACAUCGAUGGCAACGAAUAAGGUGUUUGGCAGUGGCCUAGAUGUUAUGACCUUCGGUGCAGAGGUCAUGGCAUGAGGGAAGGUUGAUGUCCAGCAACAUGGCUUCUUGUUCCAGCUGUGACACUGCAUUUGAGGACUCCAUGAGGGAAUCGCUCGUCCUCACACGGAACAGCUGCUCCACGUUCUGAACAAGGGUGAAAACCUCAUCAGAUGGACGUUGCCUCAUUAGAUCCUCCACGUGAGCCCGGUCACAACUGGCCCUUGGCAGUCUGGUCCCUGGAGCACCUGACCCUGGCAAACUGGCCUCUUCAUAGCUGACCCCUGACUGACUGGCUCCUGGCACACUGAUCUCUGGUGUGGUCAUCAUUCCUGACAUUAACAGCUGGAGGCAUACUCCUUGACGUGGAUGUCCUCCUUUUCGGCUUAGGCCGAUGUAUAAAUACUGUUGGAACAGCAUCUGGCCUCAACCUCAAAUUUCCUCCUGAUUUGUUGCCAAUAUAUUGGUCGUCUUCAAAGUGUACCUGUAGGGAAGCCAUACAUUCG
Gymnodraco acuticeps is the source of this 681-nucleotide long non-coding RNA. RefSeq lists it as uncharacterized. Lineage: Eukaryota; Metazoa; Chordata; Actinopteri; Perciformes; Bathydraconidae. The transcript has 5 exons. The record is from RefSeq and is a predicted model, not a curated record.